GUAGGGAAUUUUCGUCAAUGGGGGGAACCCUGAACGAGCAAUGCCGCGUGAGUGAAGACGGUUUUCGGACUGUAAAGCUCUGUUGUAAGAGAAAAACGGCCGACAUAGGGAAUGAUGUCGGAGUGAUGGUAUCUUACCAGAAAGUCACGGCUAACUACGUGCCAGCAGCCGCGGUAAUACGUAGGUGGCGAGCGUUAUCCGGAAUGAUUGGGCGUAAAGGGUGCGUAGGCGGUACGGUAAGUCUGUAGUAAAAGGCGGCAGCUCAACUGUCGUAGGCUAUGGAAACUGUCGAACUAGAGUGCAGAAGAGGGCGAUGGAACUCCAUGUGUAGCGGUAAAAUGCGUAGAUAUAUGGAAGAACACCAGUGGCGAAGGCGGUCGCCUGGUCUGUAACUGACGCUGAAGCACGAAAGCGUGGGGAGCAAAUAGGAUUAGAAACCCUUGUAGUCC
This 449-nucleotide ribosomal RNA is filed under the name uncultured bacterium. RNAcentral describes it as "bacterial SSU rRNA". It matches the Rfam family "Bacterial small subunit ribosomal RNA", at positions 354 to 796 of the family's 1533-position model. The record is from RNAcentral.